CAGCCGCCGCGGGAAUACGUAGGGUGCAAGCGUUAAUCGGAAUUACUGGGCGUAAAGCGUGCGCAGGCGGUUAUAUAAGACAGAUGUGAAAUCCCCGGGAUCAACCUGGGAACUGCAUUUGUGACUGUAUAGCUAGAGUACGGCAGAGGGGGAUGGAAUUCCGCGUGUAGCAGUGAAAUGCGUAGAUAUGCGGAGGAACACCGAUGGCGAAGGCAAUCCCCUGGGCCUGUACUGACGCUCAUGCACGAAAGCGUGGGGAGCAAACAGGAUUAGAUACCCCCGUAGUCCCUGUCUCUUAUAC
RNAcentral lists this ribosomal RNA (301 nucleotides) under uncultured bacterium. RNAcentral describes it as "partial 16S ribosomal RNA". It matches the Rfam family "Bacterial small subunit ribosomal RNA", at positions 509 to 807 of the family's 1533-position model. The record is from RNAcentral.